Molecule: long non-coding RNA, 656 nt
Filed under: Sorghum bicolor (sorghum)
Lineage: Eukaryota; Viridiplantae; Streptophyta; Magnoliopsida; Poales; Poaceae
Description: long non-coding RNA (SBIC_LNC000790)
Source: RNAcentral
CAGAACUCUUAGGAAACUUCCUCUCUUCCCACCAAAAAUAAUUAUAUAGUUAUCCUUGGGCGAUCUUGGAUCUUAAUUAGUACACUCACGUUCUCUGUGGAAAAUCGAUACUCUAGAAUACUCCCGGGUGAAGGCUACAUCGGUAUCCGUGCGCUUGCGGAUUUUUCUGUUUGCGUUUAAAAUACCCAACAAGCUUUCUGGCGCCGCUGUCGGGGAACGGUAGCUGUGCUAGUUUCGAACCAAGUCGUCCGUGUAUCCUUUUUCUUUUCUUUUUUUUACCACACUCACCUUAUCAUUUUCACCAUACCACAUGGAUUUCACUCUAAGCAUUAAUGAGCAUGGAAUUUAUUUCAUAGCCACUUCAUUUACUCCAUGCUCAUAUGCAACAUCUUCCCAAUCCAUUGGUUUUUCCAACAUCACCACAUUCGAGAUCUCCAACCCCCUCAUCCUUUCUAUUUAUAAAAACAUUAAAAGGGUGGUUGUCGAUGCAUAUGUCUAUAAUAAAUAUUGCAGAUCUCGUUGAGUUGAUCGUGAUAUAGGCCAGCGUUGGAGUGGAAACCACUUCGCUGACAUAAAUUAAUGCUUUCCCAAGGACAAGCUUAGUGUCCUAAAACAAGCACUGAUCAAAUUGUAACAUGAGCUUUUAAUUAUUUGCA